UACGGGGGGGGCAAGCGUUGUUCGGAAUUACUGGGCGUAAAGGGCUCGUAGGCGGCCAACUAAGUCGGACGUGAAAUCCCCAGGCUCAACCUGGGAACUGCGUCCGAUACUGGAUGGCUUGAAUUCGGGAGAGGGAUGCAGAAUUCCAGGUGUAGCGGUGAAAUGCGUAGAUAUCUGGAGGAACACCGGUGGCGAAGGCGGCGUCCUGGACCGAGAUUGACGCUGAUGAGCGAAAGCUAGGGGAGCAAACGGG
This 253-nucleotide ribosomal RNA is filed under the name uncultured bacterium. RNAcentral describes it as "partial 16S ribosomal RNA". It matches the Rfam family "Bacterial small subunit ribosomal RNA", at positions 524 to 776 of the family's 1533-position model. The record is from RNAcentral.